UAUCUAGAUCUACUCUAGUUUAGGGAUGAGAUGAGAGCUCUCAUCUCCAAACCCUAGCUUUUGCUCUGUCUAUGAAUAAUGAAUAAGGAUGAAGGGGUUGUCUCCUCCAGGGGCCACGGGGCCUGCUUAUAUAGCCCUUCCAAAUGAAUGUGGGCGGUCGGAUCAAACCGACCUUAAUCGCACGGUUUUCCUUGAUCCUUUAGGUCGGUGGAGCAUAAUCCGCGAGGCGAAACGUGAUUGGCUCCUGUAGCAGGGCGGGCACGCAUGGGGGGAGGGCGGGCGCCCUACCCCCGGGCCCGAUUGGCUUCUCGUUCGUUCCCAUGGCUUCUGGAGUCUUCUAGAUGAUGGAAAAUUGCACGGCACGUUAAUAUCUCUAUGUAAACCUGAAGUGUGGGCCUUUCCUCCAUAUUUCCUGAUAACCCCUUGUAGAAAUAGACAAACACCAAAACUCGUGGAAUUCUGUCAGAUAAAACCCUAAGUCUGGGUGUUGGUUGCAUCUGGAUCCUUUUCUUUGUUUAUUUGAUAAUUAAAUUUGGUACUUAAGGACCGUCAACAACUCCCCCAAGCUUACCUCUUGCUCAUCCCUGAGCAAGGAUGGACUCAAGAGUUUCUGCAGUGGUUUCAAGCCUUAAAUGUACACAAGCGUUCAAACAAGAUCUCAUCUCUAGGUUAGGGUAAGCUCUUAAGAUUUAAAACUUACUCAUUUUACCUUCCACCAUGGGGCUUGCAACCGUCACUUGUGUCUUGAGCAGUUAAAAGAUAAAACGGUCAAGUCAAGCGUCAUGUCUCUUGUUCUUGAUCAACUAUAGCUCUGGAGUUUUUGCAGAUUUUCAAAUAAAACUCAGAGAUUCCUUGUAUGACUCUCUCAAUUCUCUCUUUUGUGGUAUUUCUAGAUCCUUACCAAGGCAGUGAUGGUAUAUGCCUUCUCUCAAAGCAUGUGGUAUUUUUGGUAUGAGGCAUAGUGACAUUACGUUCUCUCUCACCCUACUCUAAUAAGGUUUUGAUAUCUGGAGCUCAUAGGUGGGAGACAGCUAAUACAUACUUACAAGACAUUUAUUGCAUAGUCAAACCAUGGAUCUAGAGAAACAAGUCAAUAAGUCAAAUCAAGAUGUGCAUGUGUGGCGAAUGAAUGGUGUAUGGUGAUGAUGGUGAUAAUGGUGAAAACGAUGGUGAAAGUCUAAUUCUACUUUUGCUCUUUUGAGGGGAUACAUACCUUUCUUGCACUUUCAAGCUUUUUGAGGGGGAAUGAGAUGCUCUAUAUUUUAUUUUUCUUUUCUCUUAGGUGGGUAUCUUGUACCCCUAAUUCUACUGUCGGACACUUGUGUAUUUUUACCUCUCGUCUCACUUUUUCUUUUCUUCGAGGUUCUGGGCACUUGCCCCUUUUUAUUUCCUCGUAUUUUUUUUCUUUUUUUCUUUUUUUAAAGCACUCACCUUCCUGGAAUAAUAUAGCAAGUGGUAGUAACCAAAAUAUCUCGAGCAUUUAUUUCACAGGGAAAAACAGGAAUGGGAUAAUGUUUUUGGCUAUUCUCUCCCGGAUAGGAGUAGAAUAAUUUUGGGUGAAUCUGAAGAUGGAAAUGAGUGGAUGUAUGUGGAUGCGUACUUCCGGAGUAGAAGCAGCAUGUAUGAGUGAACGUGCAAGUGAAUCAUGAUUUUAACCGCAUGACAAGCUCCUAAGGGUCUACACAGCUUGACCACACUCAAUGCUCAUAAGCAGUAAAAGUAAUGUAUGGUUCAUAGUCUAAUAAGCAUAUAUAUAUGACUGUGGUAGGAUUUUAAACUCUCAUCAUACAGGAACUUAUCAUGCAACAUUUUAAAGAUUUUCAAAGAUAAAAUUCUCUAGAAUUCUAGCAUCUCUAGGAACAGAUAAACAGCAGCUCAACCUUCUCAUAUCAUAUCCGUUAACGACUUAGACUUUUGAUCAGGUAUGCAAGCUUUAAAUUAUAACAGUUAUGCCUAAACUUGAGAGAGAGCUCAAAUUUAAAAACUAGGUACUUGGCAGAGCAACUAUUCAUCAUAUCCAUGUAAGAGUUUAUCAUUGGAGGUCAAUUUGGCAUAGACAUUUUAUUUAUUUAUUUAGCAAACUAAGCAAAGAUAUAAGCACCAAAUCUUUAUUUGGGUUUUUAUGAUUAUGCAUCAUUUUAUUGUUUGAGUAAAGUAUAAAUGCGAAUAUAAACACUUAGCUAGAUAAAUGGGGGUGCUCUCCCCCAAGCUGGAUUUUGACGUAAUUUCUUCUGAUGUAUCUAGCAGGUGGCAGAGGUGUAUUUGAAUGUCGGCAGCACCCUAACGGCGAUUAGGAUGUCCUCCGUCUGCUAGUCUUCUUUGAUCCUUGAAUUCUGUGGAGCUCAAAUAGACAACAAAGCUUUGUGGAACUAGUUAAGUGUUAGCAUAAAUAUCUAGCCUUUAUCAUGUUGAGCUUCCUCUAAUAAAUUUUACUCUCUUUGGUAGGAUCAUAAUCUUAUUUUUAUAUUUUCAUUUUUAUAAGACAGGAAUAUUUUUAUUUUUACGCCACCAUAGUGAAUGUACUUAUUUUGAAUAUGCUUACUAUUUUUAAUUUCUUUUCAAGAUAGCAUGAUUUAACUAACAAGCUAUUUAAGGAAAGUCAAUAAUUUGAGAGAAAAGGGAAUGCAGAAAGGAUAAAUAUGGAUAACUACCGAUUUUACCUUUCGGCGAGGGUUCAUUCUUUAGGUGCGUCAUUUGAUUCAGGUGUGGACCUUGAUGUCUGCACCUCUUGAUACGGUGUCACCCAUGUUCUUUGUUUGCCCAGCAAUUCGAAGUGCGGCGUUGGCAGUAUCUUGCACAGUGUGUUUGUGCUCGUAGAUCCACGUCCUUCACUUGGUAGAGUCUAGGAGUUGAAAAAUCCUCCAUGUUUCUCACAAUGUGUCCUCCUCAUAGAGACAAGGCAGAGAUCAAGUGCAUGGGUCCUGUUGGUGGAAAACACCAACAGAACCAAAAGUGUAUUUGUUCUUCUCUAACCUUAAGCAUAGUGACCAAGACAAAGUUGAUGGAUAAUAAGAUCAUGAGUGUAGCAUUUAAAACAUUUGUCAGAUCAGAUCACUCAACCUAAUGGAAAGAUAAUCUAUCUAUGUAUAUGUCUUUUUCUUUAUAUCUUCCCAAAGAUUGAAUGUGCAACAUUUUAGCCCAUAUGAUUGGGGGUGUGGGAUCAUGGAGGUAGUACUAGGAAUAAAGAUUAAAGGAUUAAACAUGCUAAAUCAGUUGGGUUGGUUAAUUUAGAGUUAUAAAUCAUACAUGUUUGUCUCUUUAUUUAUGUGAACGCCAGAACCAGGAAGAAGCUUAUAAAAGUGAUAGUCACAUAUCUUAAGAUGUUAUCUUAAUUGAAGAGUGAUGGUAUCAUCUCACCUUGUGGAAGCUUCCCAUUCGUAGUGGCUGUGUAUCUUGUUUAUGUACUUUGUCUCCUUCCAUGGAUCAUCUCUCUAUGAUGAAUGAGCUAUGUCCUUCUUGUGCAAAUUGUUAAACUUCAUGUGUCUCUCUCUUCAUCUCCGAUGUGAGUUUAUCUCAGGACUUCCAAAUUGAUAUUGGAAGUUUUUCUGCAGGGGUUAGUCCGACAAAAUAUACCAAGCAGUUUUCAGUUCAAUAACCGAACUAGACUCCAUGUCUAAUCAGAUUAAGGAAGGCUGUUUAACCUAAGCACCAUGCUUAAUUUAAAAGUCAGUAGAAGUAUGUGCAGUACUUCCAAACUAACACUUACUAGGAUAAACAAAGGUAGUGUGAUGGCUUUUAUAGAGAUCUACUCAAGUGGAGAUGAAGUAGUGUGAUUAGUAUUUAAUCAAUUGAGCAUGUCUUAAAGGUAGGGACAACCAACAUAGCAACAUGGAAAAGGAUGUUUUUAUGUAAGGUACUCCCCUAAGCUUGAAUUUUGCAAAAUUUAAGUUUGGAUGACUUUAAUUCAGUGUUGCAUGAUGAUUGGCUGGACAUACCUUGUGCUUGUUGUUCAUCCGAUCUUCUUGCUCUAAUCCAGGAAAGUUAGUGACAAGAAUACCCGAAGGAAUAUUUUUACAAUUAUCCUUAUAUGCUCAAUACACAAGGCAAUGUUGCAAAUAAUUAAAAGCUCAUGUUACGAUCUGAUCAGUGCUUAUUUUAGGACACUAAGCUUGUCCUUGGGAAACCAUCAUUUUAUGUUAGCGAAGUGGUUUCCCCUCCAACGCCAACCUUUGUAUAUCAAGAUUAGCUCAACAAGAUCUGCAAUAUUUAUUAUAGACAUAUGCAUCGACAACCGCUCUUUUAAAGUUUUUGUAAAUACAAAGGAAGAGGGGGUUGGAGAUCUCAAAUGUGGUGAUGUUGGAGAGACCAAUAGAUUUGGAAGAUGUUUCAUAUGAGCAUGGAGUAAACGAAGUGGGUAUGAAAUAAAUUCCAUGCUCAUUAAUGUUAUCUUCGUCUCUAAUCUGAAUGUUCAAAGUUUCUCUUGGAUUGGUCCCGUCUAUGUCCUCUUCUAUAGAAGGGUGAAUUAAACAUAUUAAACACAUGUUGAACCCACGCCUCUCCCCUUGGCUACGUCACCCGAAAUUCCCACAUCGAGCCACGUCUCCCCGAAUAGAUUCGCUUUGCCAGUAUUCAGCCACGUCGCUCAGAAUUCCCUUCCCGUGGACACGGUUGAGCCACGUCGCUCCCAGAUUGUAUCCAAUAAAUUGGUGCCUCCUCCCUCUCACAAAAAAAUCUCUCCCACGCCCGACCUCUCCCUCUCCUCUCACACACCGCCGCCGCCACCGCUCGCGCCGUCAUUGUUGCCCAGCCCGCGCCUCCCGUUCCCGUUCCCCUUCCUCUGCCUCUCUACCUCUCCCUUGAUGUGGUGGCGCAAUAGCAAGCCCUAGUGGUGGCCGCCCCCAGGCCGCACGGCCACAUGACGCGGCGCCGGUGGACAACACCGGUGGCCGUGAUUGUCGCCCGCCCAGCUUCUCGCCUGCACGGAUUCCUGCACGCCGUACGCGGGCUCCUGCUCGAUCCGUCCGCUGGUUUGCUCCCUCUCUCUCUCUCUCUCUCUCUCUCUCUCUUCCCCCCUUACCGCACUAAGUCUGCAGUCGCAUUACUUUGUGAUUUGGUGAAAUCCAACAUGCCAAGGUCAAUUUGAGCCUAGAUCUACUAUUCUUACCCUUUUUUGUUACAAAUCUACUACCUUACUUUAGUUUUUUUUUGCAUCACCCGUGCUGAUAAAAAAUUAUAUAGUUCAUAUGACUCUGUGCUGAUAAAAAGCUUCCUAUUGAGAAUCUGAUGUUGUUUAGAUUAAUGGUAAUUGGGUUAAGGAACCUGCUCUGUUAUUUCACCUAUACAUGCUUGGAUGAUUCCACUUUACUAUGAUCGAUGACUGUAUACUGAGUUCAUGGAACUAGUGCCCUCCAAAAUGUCCUCCUAGAGAGUAUCUUGAUGUUGUAUGGUUUGUAGAUGCAAUCCUGUGUGCUUAAUACAUGGCAUUUACAGACUGUAGUUGCAUUUACUGAAUGUAUGUCAGCUUAUGAGCCACUAUUACUACUUUUUAGGUGACUGUGAGCAAGGGUCUUUAGUUGCAGCUUGUUGGGUUUCCAACAUAUUCAACGGCAGCACCUUGCUAACGCAAGUUGUCUUUAUCUUGUCUAUGACCGCUUACUUAAAAUGCAAACCUACACGGCCAAACUUAUCUGAGAAUUCAAUUUCUCAAGCAAAUAAUAGUUUACAAGUUAUCAUUUCUCUUUUUUUUUGCUUUUCUGAGAUCAAAGAGGUGGACCUCAGGUUCAAGGAACAAGAACAUGAACCAUCAGUUGUAGAAUUAAAUUUCUACUAUACAAACAUGUUAUGGAUCGGAUUUUGUCAAUAUUACUAUUAUUUGUUUCGUCAGAUGGAGCUCAGGCUGAAGGAGCAAGAACUAAAGGCAACUCCUGAAUCAUGUGCUAUCUUCAAAUAUACUGUAUAACCGAUUUUGUAACCAAUUUCCUGCCGUUCAUUUUCAAAACAAAAAAUUAUGAUUUCUCAACAGUCUUGUAUUUAUUUUAUAUAUUUUUCCCUUCUUAAACCAUGUUUUUUUUCAACUUUACUUAGAUUAAGGAGCUGAAGCUAAAGUUGAAGGAACGAGAACUCCAACACUUAGUUGUGGAACUAGAGGUAUAUUCUCUAUAAAUGUUGUGCUAUCUACCUUUUAUUCAACUAAAAUAUUGUGCUAACUGCCUUUCAUUCAAGUACAUGUUCCUAGAUAAGGUACUUUUGGAUACAUACAAUGGAAAUGCAUACUUUCUACUACUGUUUUUGAUUAACUGAUUGAUUUAUCCCUUUGUUUAGUUAUUUGGGGACUACAACAAACUCAGGUUCUACCCUCUUAAAACCAGGAUGACAAUGAAGUCUUUGCCUUCGGUGCAGUAAAAAUUCCUCAAAAAAGGUGACAGCUUCUCUCCAUUUAUUGUGAUCCCUGUGAUUUACAUAAUUCUUUUUGGGUUGUUUGAUCUAAAUGCCUCCUCAUUUUGUGCUUGAUGCCAUUGGAAUAAUGUUUUCCACCUGAUUGUUCUAAAUGUGGCUAUCUAAUGUUGCGUUUUUCCUCCUGCUUAUGUAGGUUAUUAUGGCUACACUGAAGGGCUUAUUUCUCUUUUUGUGAAGUGUGGCAUAUCUGGUAUGCUGUACAAAUCCCACCUCGUUCUUUUCUGUUAGCUACCUGCCUUCUGCAUAGUUAAGAUGGUGACUAGAAUAGUAAAAACAAACCAGUGCAGGACCAAAAAAAUGGUCUUGAGAUUGUUUGACAAGGUGCUAUCCAUACUGUUUGUCAUAUUCAGUAUAGUGGAGUUGCUUUCUUCGGUGCAGAUGCAACAUCUUGUGUUAAAGUGUUAUUGGUCCCUCCAUUUGCUAAGUAUUGAGUAUUUUAUUAGAGGUGCUAGGUGUUAAGUGUUAGGCGUAUACAGGUGUUGGCCUUCAAAAAAUAAGAUCUUCCUCAUUUUUAGAUGGCUAAAAAUAGAGGUAUUGCGAAAGGGCUUCUAGCCUAGUGGUUAGAGCACCUAAGUAGCACCAGCAGACCUGGGUUCGACUCCCUGUGGGAGCGAAUUUAAACAGGUCUGUAUUAUAAAAAAAUAAAAAAAAUAGGCUGGGAUUUCUCUUGCUGACUUCGGUCAAAAAAAUAAAGAUAUUUAUGUUGCAAGAUGUAUCUUUGUAUAUUUCUAAUUUUCCCUUCUAUUAUCUCGGAUUCAAUUAUUUUCCACAACACAUUUACUUCUUGUGUCUAUGUAUGCUUCCUUUUAUGACUAUAACUUAUCUGGUGCUAAUUCAAAGAUUCCUAUUCAUAGGUGUUUGAAAAAGUCUUUUCUCCUUAUUUUAGCUCCAUAAAUAUUAUCUAAUGGCAACCAUAUUUAUUCUUUUAUCACAAUUUAGAGAUUUCGUAGCAUAUUCACUAUUUUAUUAGUCGAGGAUUAGAAGUAAUGAACCAUAUCAAUUCACAAAAAGAGAUAAGACGGUGUGCAUCCAUAAAUUAAUAUUUGUAAGCACGCAGAGGCAAGCUAUUUGUACACAUAAUUCUAUUUGCUUUUUUCACACGAUACUAUUUUUUCCACAGCAUGCUGUAACAUUUAAGUCAGCAAAAGUGUUGAUAAAAUUUUCAAGAACUUUCUCUAGAGUUAAUUUGACUGAGUCUAUCUUAGCGACAGUUAGGUUAUGAUAAAAAUGAUAUGUUUUUUAUGAUUGCCUUUUAUGUGAUGCUAGCAAACUUAAUUCAGGCAAAUCAGUAUGCAUCUAUUGCUAGGGUGCAUGUGUGAUAAUUAAUACUAGAAUGGUUCUUGUGCUCCGAUCCUAUACCCCUGGAGGUAAUGGUCCUCCCAUUAAUUUGUGAUAAUUCAUAAAUCAGUUCUCUCCUAUUGCAAUAAACCUUUUUCCAGUUAUAAAAUGAUGAUAGGCUUCAAAUCAUGAAUUCUUUUACUUUAUGCAAACAGAAGAACACAAACCUAUGGAACUUAUCAAUAUGAAUUUGUUCAUGCACAAUUAGUCCAGUUGACCGGUACACAAUUUGACUAGUAGCGGCUUCUUUUUAGUUAUUCUCUGUAUAUUCGGUUCGUUCCUUGGAUUAGGAUACAGAGCAUUGAUAAGGUUUUGUUUGCCUUUUCAGGCCGAGCACUAUAUUAUUUGCAGAUCUUUUUACAGAGUUAAGAUAAAGGUACUAAUUUUCAGUUUACCAUCCUUUCAGUUUUCUUUGCCUAAGUGAACCAAGCUGUACACAUUAGUAUAAAUCUGUAUGCUACUUUUUUAGAUAUGCUACAUAAGCUGUACACGUGAGUGUAAAUCUCUAUGUUACUAUGUAGACUACUAAAAAAAAUUCUACAGUGUGAUUAUAAUAUUUCUCUCUACCUAAUGGAGUGAUUAUUGAGCAAAACUUGAAUAUGGCUCCUAUUGAAAUUUUUUCUAUAGGGAUAUUUUACGAGACAUAUUUGACAACCAAUAUAUGAAGUGUAAUGAAAACAGAAAGGACAAACUGUAAUAGAAAUUGAAGACAAAUAGUAUUUUAAGAGUAGCCAUUGUUGUUUCAUUUUGUAUGGCUUCCUAACAGACUACGUAGUGGAAAUUGAAAACAAACAGGAUCUUAGGAGUAGCCACUGAUGUUCCAUUUUUUAAAGGUUCCUUCCCUAAUCUUGUCGGUACUAUUGAGUGCUUGAGAGUUCAAUGGUGGUUGUUGUGCUGCCAUUACCAUGCUUAGAAGAUUAGAUAGAGCACUGAAAUUUGGAGAGUCAUGGUACUCUUUUAGGAUUACAGUUUUUUUAUAGUUUUCUUUUAAGUCUCUGUUUUCUUUAGUGAGCCUCAUCUCCACUUUCUCAUAUCUCCAGACAUUGCACACAUUGUUUUCUCGCCUCUCCAGAUACUGCAGUCUCUAUUACCAUACGUGCGAUAUUAAUGCGUACAACCUAUCUUAGUAUUCAUACAAAACUUUGCUACGAUAAAAAAGACUCCACCCUCUGUGUUAUUAAUUGGGAAGGUAAGACUUCAGGCAAUAAUAUUGAACUGGUGCCUUCUGAGACAUUAUAGGGUGUAUACUUCAUUCUCUUCAACUGUAGAGGUCUCUACUGAACAAUACUUAGUUCAUUCUUGUUUUUAAACUGUCAUAUUCAUUUCAGUAUAAUAGUUAUGUACUGCCUGAUUCUUCUUAUUGCAUAUUGUCAUAAUUUCACUUUGUCAAUUUGUGUAGAAAAGCAAAUCUGUUUUGAAACUUAAUUCGAAUGAAUUUUUUCCUAGCCUUUCAGUAUAAUGGCUAAUUCUAACAAUCAUAUAGAUAUAAUGAAGAUUGAAGACCACUAUAGUAGAGAGAGAACCACAAUUGUGACAGUCGCAGAUAAACUUCCGCAGACUUGCACAGCCGAAAACACAGAAGAAAUGAGGUGAUGAAAACUCGGAUGUUAAGUCAACUUCUAUGGUGUCAUCCAGUUCGUCACUGACGCGACUUCGUCUACCCAUUUUGAUCUAGAUAUUUGAGAGGUUUCCGCUGAUCUGGAUGUUCGUCUUUGCUAAUUCUGCGCUAGGCUAUGUAUUGUACCUACUCAAUGUAUAGCUUGUUUUAGACUCAUGUCGAUUGGAACUCUACUGAACUAAAAUAUAUAUUGAAUUGAUGUGCACGAUCAGAACAAAUUAAUACGUAUUGCUUAGAUAUUAAAUUUUCAGUAGACACAAAUAAUAUCCUCAAUUUACACAGAAGUUUAUAGCCUGAUACAAAUUUUAUGUAUAUCUACUUAUAUAUUGGGGUGGCUCUAUGUGGCGCGUACUCUAAUUAUAUACAUUAGCAAUAUAUCUAACGUGUAAAUCCUAGCUGUACAAACCUAAAGAUGUCCGAUUUGCGCGCGGUUUAUACUAGGGUGUGGACCUUGACGUCUGCACCUCUUGAACAAGACUUCUUACCAUAUUCAUUCUUUAGGUGCGUCAUUUGAUUCAGGUG
RNAcentral lists this long non-coding RNA (9874 nucleotides) under Sorghum bicolor (sorghum). RNAcentral's name for it is "long non-coding RNA (SBIC_LNC016387)". The record is from RNAcentral. Lineage: Eukaryota; Viridiplantae; Streptophyta; Magnoliopsida; Poales; Poaceae.